GAUGAACGCUGGCGGCGUGCCUAAUACAUGCAAGUCGAGCGAACGGACGAGAAGCUUGCUUCUCUGAUGUUAGCGGCGGACGGGUGAGUAACACGUGGAUAACCUACCUAUAAUACUGGGAUAACUUCGGGAAACCGGAGCUAAUACCGGAUAAUAUUUUGAACCGCAUGGUUCAAAAGUGAAAGACGGUCUUGCUGUCACUUAUAGAUGGAUCCGCGCUGCAUUAGCUAGUUGGUAAGGUAACGGCUUACCAAGGCAACGAUGCAUAGCCGACCUGAGAGGGUGAACGGCCACACUGGAACUGAGACACGGUCCAGACUCCUACGGGAGGCAGCAGUAGGGAAUCUUCCGCAAUGGGCGAAAGCCUGACGGAGCAACGCCGCGUGAGUGAUGAAGGUCUUCGGAUCGUAAAACUCUGUUAUUAGGGAAGAACAUAUGUGUAAGUAACUGUGCACAUCUUGACGGUACCUAAUCAGAAAGCCACGGCUAACUACGUG
Molecule: ribosomal RNA, 497 nt
Filed under: uncultured bacterium
Lineage: Bacteria
Description: partial 16S ribosomal RNA
Rfam family: Bacterial small subunit ribosomal RNA
Source: RNAcentral